UUUAAUGGCACCUCUACUAGCUCUAGAUUCGAUUCACCAAUUAAAUCUAAUUCUGUAUAUGUCGGUCCUUCCACCUCGUGAGUUUUAUCAAGUUCAAUUUUACAGGUAUUAGUUCCUUCUCUAGGAACUCCUUUUUCAAAAAGACUGCCUGGCUGCUGACAAACACCUUUUGUUCUGCAGCGAGGUAGAAGUAGUACCCUUUAAUUUUUUUGGGUACCCUACGAAUAAGCAUCUAUCA
This 238-nucleotide long non-coding RNA is filed under the name Elaeis guineensis (African oil palm). Its description in RNAcentral is "long non-coding RNA (EGUI_LNC038556)". The record is from RNAcentral. Lineage: Eukaryota; Viridiplantae; Streptophyta; Magnoliopsida; Arecales; Arecaceae.